This is a small nuclear RNA of Aotus nancymaae (Ma's night monkey), 107 nucleotides long. Lineage: Eukaryota; Metazoa; Chordata; Mammalia; Primates; Aotidae. The record is from Ensembl.
AUGCAAGCUUCAGCAGCACAUAUACUAAAACUGGAAUGACUCCGAGAAGAUUAGCAUGACCUCUGUACAAGUGUGACACCUGAAUUCAUGAAGCGUUCCAUUAUUUU